RNAcentral lists this long non-coding RNA (707 nucleotides) under Homo sapiens (human). Its description in RNAcentral is "long intergenic non-protein coding RNA 1322". The record is from RNAcentral. Lineage: Eukaryota; Metazoa; Chordata; Mammalia; Primates; Hominidae.
GGAGCCGCAGGGCUUAAUCCCGCGCGGCUCAGAGAUGGGUUUCUGGACUCGCGAAGCAGCUGCAACAAGGCAUCACUCACUGUAUAAGUAUUUCCAUUUCUGAGAGCAAAAGGAAGAACUUAAGCGGGCGGCACUUGGAGUGUAAAUUGCUUUGUAGUAUUUAAAGGCAGAAUGGAUCCUGGGCAGCCGAGCUGAUCAUGAGGUUCCUGAGGCCUCCUAGCCAUGCUUCCUGUGCAGCCUAUGGAACUCAACAAACCGGCAGGACUUCCUGUGAAAUCAUGACCACCAUGUGCUCUUUCAGCCUCUAUCAGUUCCUACCUCUAAGCACCUGAGAGCCAAAGCAAACCACAGGAAACCACAGGUACUAACUCUUUUAGACCUGAUGAAGUGUCUCCCAAAUACAGUCUGGCAUGGCCUUUGGAGUCAGACUGGAACUACAGCAUUGACUCUUCCGGAACUCCAGCUUACUGACUACAGAUCUUGGAACUUUUCAGCUUCCACAACCAUAAUGAAAGCCAAGCAUAUUCCAUCAUUUCCUAAAACCAAGAUAGAGCACAUAUGGGAACUUGUGAAAUAAGGAUGCCCUGCGGUUGUUUUCAGGACUGAAGACAACAGCUCCACGAUGAAACCAAAGCACAAAGAGAGAAAGAAAAGAAAGAGAAAAAAGGAAGAAAGAAAAGAAAGAUGAAAGAAAGAAAGAGAAAGAA